This 101-nucleotide ribosomal RNA is filed under the name Pseudomonas putida. Lineage: Bacteria; Pseudomonadati; Pseudomonadota; Gammaproteobacteria; Pseudomonadales; Pseudomonadaceae. RNAcentral also lists the same sequence under 14 other names. The record is from RNAcentral.
GCAUUGGAACCACCUGAUCCCAUCCCGAACUCAGCAGUGAAACGAUGCAUCGCCGAUGGUAGUGUGGGGUUUCCCCAUGUGAGAGUAGGUCAUCGUCAAGA